This 228-nucleotide long non-coding RNA is filed under the name Elaeis guineensis (African oil palm). Its description in RNAcentral is "long non-coding RNA (EGUI_LNC077848)". Lineage: Eukaryota; Viridiplantae; Streptophyta; Magnoliopsida; Arecales; Arecaceae. The record is from RNAcentral.
UAUUAUUUUAUGAGGUACCCCAAAGAAUCUAGGAGAUAUAACUUCUACUAUGCUAAAGAACAAGAGUUGUUCGGCAUUUAUUUUAGAAAAAUAGUACCUUGGUGAAGGUACUUGUACCUUUAAUAUAAAAUUUAUGAAGUUUGACAGAUAGAAAAAUCGACAUAAUCUGAUGAACCCAUAGAAUCAGAUUUGAUUAGAUCAAACUUGAAAUCCAUUGUAAAGGCACCA